This 1373-nucleotide long non-coding RNA is filed under the name Oryctolagus cuniculus (rabbit). RNAcentral describes it as "lncRNA (ENSOCUG00000038761.1)". Lineage: Eukaryota; Metazoa; Chordata; Mammalia; Lagomorpha; Leporidae. The record is from RNAcentral.
GAAACAAGAAAAGAGAGGAAAAAGAGAGCAUUCACCCCCCCCCCCUCCAGCCUCACAAUGCCCAAGCAUGAAGCCGUGAGUCAGGUGGUGGAUCAGCCCCCUCGCUGCUGCCAGCCACGGUGGUUGAAGAGCUUCAGCUAGGGACACCAGCGGGGACUGCUCACAUAUGUUGAGCACCUGUGGGCAGGCACUCUCCUAAGCACUUGACAUUAUUAACUCAUUUAUUCCUGGUGACAACUGUUGGAGGUAAGUUUAAUCAUUGGGCUCAUUUCACAGAGUAGACAGUGGUACAAAAGGGGUAAGCCCCUUGCCCAGCGUCCCCCAGCUAAGAAGAGACGGAGCCAGGAUUCAAAUCCCAGAAGCCAGGUCCCAGAUCCUGUGCCUCCCCACUGCCCACUGCCUCUAUGAGUGAUGUUCAGUGUGCACUGUGCCUGCAGGAGGGCAGGAGAAAUCUGCGGCCACACGGUCAGAGCCUCUGCCAGGCCCAGACUGCCCUUCACUAAUGUAGCCCACAGGCCUGGCAAGUGGCUCCUCCUACCCCAGCUCUGCUCUCUGACCACGAGGACGUGGGGUCAUAGGAUGCCCUAACGCUCACCACCUCACCAAGCUAGCCUUGAGCCCCCAGCACCCCUAGGGUCUCCACCUCUCGGCAGCCCCAGCCCCUCACUCAGCAGGUGCAGCAGCGAGAGGAGGCCCCAGAAGCACUGGGAAGCUGCGGGAGACAGGAAGCCACCAAGGCCCCAGUGCCUGGAACAGAAUGCGGAGCCACCAGCCAGAACAUCCCUGGAGAGAGCAGGGGAUUUAGUCCCCAGAAGCGAAUUUUUCUAGGACAGACGCCUGCCAGACCCCACCCUGAAGAAUGGGCCGGAUGCUCAGAUGCCAAGGCAAAGGGACAGCAGGCAGGGAGCUCGCCAGAGCCUGGCCACCUCUCCUCGGCGUGGGAACUCUCUCCUGACCCCACGACCCCCUCCUCUCAGCAUAUCAGACUUUUCCAGUGGGACAAGGACUUGAGGCCUGACCCCGUCCCUCACUAGCUGUAUGACUCCCAGGGCCUCAGUUUGCCAGCUCUGCAGCAAUGGGCCCUUCCAGGGCUGGCACUCCACAGUACUACAGUUUUGUUGGUCUUCAAAGCCUUCAAACUAGUGGUCCCCCACAGGGAUACUAUUCUGCAUUCCCGCUCCUCCCCCCUCCCCCACGUGCGCACACACACACACACACAUAGUGCACCUGCUCCUCCCCCUGGAAGCCCCCACUGCCCACCCGCCCCUCUUCUAAAAGCUCCUCCCUCCCCCCCCCCCACCAUGGUGCACCUGCCCACCUGCCUAUCAAACCAUAGCUGUCAACUCCCUCAAGGGCUUGCCAAGUAACCGACC